This 482-nucleotide ribosomal RNA is filed under the name uncultured bacterium. RNAcentral describes it as "partial 16S ribosomal RNA". It matches the Rfam family "Bacterial small subunit ribosomal RNA", at positions 30 to 507 of the family's 1533-position model. The record is from RNAcentral.
AUUGAACGCUGGCGGCAUGCUUUACACAUGCAAGUCGAACGGUAACAGGCCGCAAGGUGCUGACGAGUGGCGAACGGGUGAGUAAUGCAUCGGAACGUGCCCAGUCGUGGGGGAUAACUACUCGAAAGAGUAGCUAAUACCGCAUACGAUCUAUGGAUGAAAGCGGGGGACCGUAAGGCCUCGCGCGAUUGGAGCGGCCGAUGUCAGAUUAGGUAGUUGGUGGGGUAAAGGCUCACCAAGCCAACGAUCUGUAGCUGGUCUGAGAGGACGACCAGCCACACGGGGACUGAGACACGGCCCAGACUCCUACGGGAGGCAGCAGUGGGGAAUGUUGGACAAUGGGCGCAAGCCUGAUCCAGCAAUGCCGCGUGCAGGAAGAAGGCCUUCGGGUUGUAAACUGCUUUUGUACGGAACGAAACGGCUCUGGUUAAUACCCGGGGCUAAUGACGGUACCGUAAGAAUAAGCACCGGCUAACUACGUG